GUAAAACAACAGAAACCCAUUACCAUCUUUACUUUUGGUUCCGCUGCCUCAGCCAAGCCAUCCAGGUGAGGGUUAAUAAACAGAGAAAACCUGGAGAGGUUCCAAAUAAAGUGAGAACUAUAAAGACGAAGGCCAACGCUGCAAACAUCUCAGCCAGAAAGAACACUCUUAGCACCCUACAAGCAGGUAUGUGCUUACCAGCAAACUAAAGCAAAUGGAAAUUAAGAAGCAUGAUCACCACCAGCAAGGUGCUGCUGAACUAUAAGCCUUCAGAUGGUCAGAUAAAGUACCUGAUGCUGAAAAACAGGAAAUUGAAUCAUGUCUCCAAAAUGUGCCUUUUGUCAUGCACUGUUACAGCUAUAUUUCUUGUAACUACAUUCAGCCUCCAGCCAAGAUAAAGAAUUAUGUGAUACAUACUUCAUCUUCCAUCACUGCUUUCAAAAGAUGUGAAUUCUGCAAACCAGACAGAAGAGGGAGCUAUCCAUCUGGAAAUUAACCAAUCCUUUCAAAAACAUGUCAAAUA
Molecule: long non-coding RNA, 523 nt
Filed under: Homo sapiens (human)
Lineage: Eukaryota; Metazoa; Chordata; Mammalia; Primates; Hominidae
Description: HSALNT0031869
Source: RNAcentral